AGAGUUUGAUCCUGGCUCAGGAUGAACGCUAGCUACAGGCUUAACACAUGCAAGUCGAGGGGAAACGAUAUUGGAAGCUUGCUUCCGAUAGGCGUCGACCGGCGCACGGGUGAGUAACGCGUAUCCAACCUGCCCAUCACUUGGGGAUAACCUUGCGAAAGUAAGACUAAUACCCAAUGAUAUCUCUAGAAGACAUCUGAAGGAGAUUAAAGAUUUAUCGGUGAUGGAUGGGGAUGCGUCUGAUUAGCUUGUUGGCGGGGUAACGGCCCACCAAGGCGACGAUCAGUAGGGGUUCUGAGAGGAAGGUCCCCCACAUUGGAACUGAGACACGGUCCAAACUCCUACGGGAGGCAGCAGUGAGGAAUAUUGGUCAAUGGGCGAGAGCCUGAACCAGCCAAGUAGCGUGCAGGAUGACGGCCCUAUGGGUUGUAAACUGCUUUUAUAAGGGAAUAAAGUGAGCCUCGUGAGGCUUUUUGCAUGUACCUUAUGAAUAAGGACCGGCUAAUUCCGUGCCAGCAGCCGCGGUAAUACGGAAGGUCCGGGCGUUAUCCGGAUUUAUUGGGUUUAAAGGGAGCGUAGGCCGGAGAUUAAGCGUGUUGUGAAAUGUAGAUGCUCAACAUCUGCACUGCAGCGCGAACUGGUUUCCUUGAGUACGCACAAAGUGGGCGGAAUUCGUGGUGUAGCGGUGAAAUGCUUAGAUAUCACGAAGAACUCCGAUUGCGAAGGCAGCUCACUGGAGCGCAACUGACGCUGAAGCUCGAAAGUGCGGGUAUCGAACAGGAUUAGAUACCCUGGUAGUCCGCACGGUAAACGAUGGAUGCCCGCUGUUGGUCUGAAUAGGUCAGCGGCCAAGCGAAAGCAUUAAGCAUCCCACCUGGGGAGUACGCCGGCAACGGUGAAACUCAAAGGAAUUGACGG
This 918-nucleotide ribosomal RNA is filed under the name uncultured bacterium. RNAcentral's name for it is "bacterial SSU rRNA". It matches the Rfam family "Bacterial small subunit ribosomal RNA", at positions 8 to 916 of the family's 1533-position model. The record is from RNAcentral.